RNAcentral lists this ribosomal RNA (403 nucleotides) under Verrucomicrobiota bacterium. RNAcentral describes it as "Verrucomicrobia bacterium partial 16S ribosomal RNA". It matches the Rfam family "Bacterial small subunit ribosomal RNA", at positions 355 to 776 of the family's 1533-position model. Lineage: Bacteria; Pseudomonadati; Verrucomicrobiota. The record is from RNAcentral.
UGGGGAAUAUUGCACAAUGGGCGCAAGCCUGAUGCAGCAACGCCGCGUGAACGAUGAAGGUCUUCGGAUCGUAAAGUUCUGUUGCAGGGGAAGAUAAUGACGGUACCCUGUGAGGAAGCCCCGGCUAACUACGUGCCAGCAGCCGCGGUAAUACGUAGGGGGCUAGCGUUAUCCGGAUUUACUGGGCGUAAAGGGUGCGUAGGUGGUCCUUCAAGUCGGUGGUUAAAGGCUACGGCUCAACCGUAGUAAGCCGCCGAAACUGGAUGACUGGAGUGCAGGGGAGGAAAGUGGAAUUCCCAGGGUGGCGGUGAAAUGCGUAGAUAUUGGGAGGAACACCAGUAGCGAAGGCGGCUUGCUGGACUGCAACUGACACUGAGGCACGAAAGCGUGGGUAGCAAACAGG